AGCGAACGCUGGCGGCAGGCCUAACACAUGCAAGUCGAACGGAUCCCUCGGGAUUAGUGGCGGACGGGUGAGUAACACGUGGGAACGUGCCCUUUGGUUCGGAACAACUCAGGGAAACUGGAGCUAAUACCGGAUGUGCCCUUCGGGGGAAAGAUUUAUCGCCAUUGGAGCGGCCCGCGUCUGAUUAGCUAGUUGGUGAGGUAACGGCCCACCAAGGCGACGAUCAGUAGCUGGUCUGAGAGGAUGAUCAGCCACACUGGGACUGAGACACGGCCCAGACUCCUACGGGAGGCAGCAGUGGGGAAUCUUGCGCAAUGGGCGAAAGCCUGACGCAGCCAUGCCGCGUGAAUGAUGAAGGUCUUAGGAUUGUAAAAUUCUUUCAGCGGGGACGAUAAUGACGGUACCCGCAGAAGAAGCUCCGGCUAACUUCGUG
Molecule: ribosomal RNA, 433 nt
Filed under: uncultured bacterium
Lineage: Bacteria
Description: partial 16S ribosomal RNA
Rfam family: Bacterial small subunit ribosomal RNA
Source: RNAcentral